This 329-nucleotide unclassified non-coding RNA is filed under the name soil metagenome. Its description in RNAcentral is "partial contains 5.8S ribosomal RNA, internal transcribed spacer 2, and large subunit ribosomal RNA". The stretch from base 1 to 120 matches the Rfam family "5.8S ribosomal RNA", at positions 35 to 154 of the family's 154-position model. The record is from RNAcentral.
GAUGAAGAACGCAGCGAAAUGCGAUAAGUAGUGUGAAUUGCAGAAUUCAGUGAAUCAUCGAAUCUUUGAACGCACAUUGCGCCCCUUGGUAUCCCGAGGGGCAUGCCUGUUCGAGCGUCAUUUCACCACUCAAGCCUGGCUUGGUGUUGGGCGACGUCUCCUUUGGGGACGCGCCUCGAAACGCUCGGCGGCGUGGCACCGGCUUUAAGCGUAGCAGAAUCUUUCGCUUUGGAAGUCGGGGCCCCGUCUGCCGGAAGACCUACUCGCAAGGUUGACCUCGGAUCAGGCAGGGAUACCCGCUGAACUUAAGCAUAUCAAUAAGCGGAGGA